AGCCUCUGGGGCCUCGGCUGUGUGGGAAGCCACCCCCAAAGGCGACCUGCGGCCUGAUGCCACUCACAGAGCACAGCGGAAAUGACAGAAUCUCAGACGUGGAGGGCGGCGCCGCCGGCAGGGACAGGGUGGCCCACGGCCCUUCAAGGCUGUCUGAACGCAUCCCCACCCUGGCACCUGCAGCUGAGGGGCUCCUCACAGCGGACCUCAGCCCCUGGACGUGGCUGCCUCACUCUAAGAUUUGGAAGUUCCUGAACACAGCAAGCCUUGUGGGUGA
This 277-nucleotide long non-coding RNA is filed under the name Homo sapiens (human). RNAcentral's name for it is "HSALNT0131587". Lineage: Eukaryota; Metazoa; Chordata; Mammalia; Primates; Hominidae. The record is from RNAcentral.